This 253-nucleotide ribosomal RNA is filed under the name uncultured bacterium. RNAcentral describes it as "partial 16S ribosomal RNA". It matches the Rfam family "Bacterial small subunit ribosomal RNA", at positions 524 to 776 of the family's 1533-position model. The record is from RNAcentral.
UACAGAGGUCGCAAGCGUUAAUCGGAUUUACUGGGCGUAAAGCGUGUGUAGGUGGUUGUACAAGUCGGUUGUGAAAUCCCUCGGCUCAACCAAGGAAGUGCAUCCGAAACUGCUGAGCUUGAGUACGAAAGAGGAUCGCGGAAUUCCCGGUGUAGAGGUGAAAUUCGUAGAUAUCGGGAGGAACACCAGUGGCGAAGGCGGCGAUCUGGGUCGAUACUGACGCUGAGGUGCGAAAGCGUGGGGAGCAAACAGG